This 429-nucleotide ribosomal RNA is filed under the name Bacteroidota bacterium. Its description in RNAcentral is "Bacteroidetes bacterium partial 16S ribosomal RNA". It matches the Rfam family "Bacterial small subunit ribosomal RNA", at positions 355 to 776 of the family's 1533-position model. Lineage: Bacteria; Pseudomonadati; Bacteroidota. The record is from RNAcentral.
UAGGGAAUCUUCCGCAAUGGACGCAAGUCUGACGGAGCAACGCCGCGUGAGUGAAGAAGGAUUUCGGUUCGUAAAACUCUGUUGUUAGAGAAGAACAGCGCAUAGAGUAACUGUUAUGCGUGUGACGGUAUCUAACCAGAAAGCCACGGCUAACUACGUGCCAGCAGCCGCGGUAAUACGUAGGUGGCAAGCGUUGUCCGGAUUUAUUGGGCGUAAAGCGAGCGCAGGCGGUCAAUUAAGUCUGAUGUGAAAGCCCCCGGCUCAACCGGGGAGGGUCAUUGGAAACUGGUUGACUUAAGUGCAGAAGAGGGGAGUGGAAUUCCAUGUGUAGCGGUGAAAUGCGUAGAUAUAUGGAGGAACACCAGUGGCGAAGGCGACUCUCUGGUCUGUAACUGACGCUGAGGUUCGAAAGCGUGGGUAGCAAACAGG